Hypanus sabinus (Atlantic stingray) is the source of this 5740-nucleotide long non-coding RNA. RefSeq lists it as uncharacterized. The record is from RefSeq and is a predicted model, not a curated record. Lineage: Eukaryota; Metazoa; Chordata; Chondrichthyes; Myliobatiformes; Dasyatidae. The transcript is spliced from 3 exons.
GUAGUCCCUACCAUUAACUAUGUGUCCUACCCUCAUACACCGAGGUCCCUGUGUCACUCAGUACUCGCUACCGUCACAGUGUGUGUCCUACCCUCGUACACCGAGCUCCCUCUGUCCCUCAGUGAUCCCUUCAUUUCACAGUAUGUGUCCUACACUCGUACACUGAGGUCCCGCUGUCCCUCAUUACUCCCUACCAUCACAGUGUCUGUCCUACCCUCAGACACUGAGAUCCCUCUGUCCCUCAGUACUCCCUACCGUUCACAGUGUGUGCCAUACCCUUGUACACCGAGGACCCUCUUUCCCUCAGUACGCCCUAUCGUCACGUGUCCUACCCUUGUACACCGAGCUCCCUCUGUCCCUCAGUAAUCCCUACAGUUACAGUGUAUCCUUCCCUUGUACACCGAGCUCCCACUGUCCCUCAGUACUCCCUACAGUUCACAGUGUGUGUCCUACCAUUGUACAGCCAGUUCCCUCUGUCACUCAUUACUCCCUACCAUUCACUAUGUCUCCUAGCCUAGUACAUCAAGGUCUCUCUGUCACUCUCUACUCCCUACAGUUCACAGUAUGUGUCCUAUCCUUGUACACAGAGGACCCUCUGUCCCUCAGUACUCCCUACCGUUCACAGUAUGUGUCCUAUCCUCGUACACUGAGCUCCCUCUAUCCCUCAGUGAUCCCUUCAUUUCACAGUAUGUGUCCUGCACUCGUACACUGAGGUACCACUGUCCCUCAGUACUCCCUACCGUUCUCAGUAUGUGCCCUACACUCGUACACUCAGGUCCUACUGUCCCUCAGUACUCCCUACCGUUCACAGUGUAUGUCCUACCCUCGUACACUGAGCUCCCUCUAUCCCUCAAUGAUCCCUUCAUUUCACAGUAUGUGUCCUAUCCUCGUACACUGAGCUCCCUCUAUCCCUCAAUGAUCCCUUCAUUUCACAGUGUGUGUCCUACACUCGUACACUGAGGUCCCUCUGUCCCUCAGUACUCCCUAACAUCACAGUGUGUGUCCUACCCUUGUACACCAAAGUCCCUCUGUCCCUCAUUACUCCCUACCGUUCUCAGGAUGUGUCCUACCCUAGAACACUGAGGUCCCUCUGUCCCUCAGUACGCCCUACCUUCACAGAGUGUGUCCUACCAUUGUAAAGCGAGUUCCCUCUGUCCCUCACUACUCCCUACCGUUCACAGUGUGUGUCCUACCCUCGUACACUGAGGUCACUCUGUCCCUCAACACUCCUGACCAUUCACUAUGUCGCCUAGCCUAGUACACCAAGGUCCCUCAGUUCUCUCUACCGUUCACCGUGUGUCCGACCCUUGAACACUGAGGUCCCUCUGUCCCUCAGUGCUCACUACAUUUCACAGUAUGUGUCCUACCCUCGUACACUGAGGUCCCGCUGUCCCUCAGGACUCCCUACCGUUCACAGUGUGUGUCCUACCCUCAUACACUGAGAUCCCUCUGUCCCUCAGUCCUCCCUACAGUCACAGGGUGUGUCCAACCAUUGCACACCGAGGUCCCUCUGUCCCUCAGUACUCCCUACCAUCACAGUUUGUGUCCUACCCUUGUACACCAAAGUCACUGUGUCCCUCAUUACUCCCUACCGUUCACAGGAUGUGUCCUACCCUCGAACACUGAGGUCCAUCUGUCCCUCAAUACUCCAUACCGUUCACAGUGCAUUUCCUAGCAUUGUACACCGAGGUCCCCCUGUCCCUCAGUACUCCCUACCUUCACAGUGUGUGUCCUGCCAUUGUAGAGCAAGGUCCCUCUGUCCCUCAUUACUCCCAACCACUCAUUAUCUGUCCUACCCGCGCACACUGAGGUCCCUCUGUCCCUCAGUACUCCCUACCGUCACAAUGUGAGUCCAUCCCUUGUACACCGAGGUCCCAAUUUCCCUCAGUACUCCCUACUAUUCAGAUUAUGUGUUCAACCCCCGUACACUGAGGUCCCGCUGUCCCUCAGGACUCCCUACCAUCACAGUGUAUGUCUGACCCUCAUACACUGAGACCCCUCUGUCCCUCAGUCCUCCCUACAGUCACAGGGUGUGUCCAAUUAUUGCACACCGAGGUCCCUCUGUCCCUCAGUACUCCCUACCAUUCACUAUCUGUCCUAGCUUUAUACACUGAGGUCCCUCUGUCCCUCAGUACGCACUAUCAUCACAAUGUGUCCUACCCUUGAACACCGAGGUCCCUCGGUCCCUCAGUACUCCCUACCAUCACAGGGUGUGUCCUACCCUUCUACACCAAAGUCCCUCUGUCCCUCAUGACUCCCUACCGUUCACAGGAUGUGUCCUACCCUAGAACACUGAGGUCCCUCUGUCCCUCAGUACUCCCUACCAUCACAGCGUGUGUCCUACCAUUGUACAGCGAGUUCCCUCAGUCCCUCAUUACUCCCUACCAUUUACUAUGUGUCCUACCCUUGUACAAUGAGGUCCCCCUGUCCCUCAGUACUUUCUCCCCUCACAGUGUGUGUCCUACCCUUGUACACAGAGGUCCCUCUGUACCUCAGUAUUCCCUACCGUUCACAGUGUGUGUUCCACCCUUUUAUACCAAAGCCCUCUGUCCCUCAGUACUCCCUACCGUUGACAGUGUGGCCUACCCUCAUACACUGAGAUCCCACUGUCCCUCAUUACUCCCUAGCGUUCACAGUGUGUGACCUACACUUCUACACCGAGGUCCCUCUGUCCCUCAUUACUCCCUACCAUUCAGUAUCUGUCCUACCCUCGUACACCGUCCCUCUGUCCCUCAGUAUUCGCUACCGUCACAGCGUGUGUCCUACCCUCGUACACUGAGGUCCCUCUGUCCCUCAACACUCCCUACCAUUCACUAUCUGUUCUAGCUUUAUACACUGAGGUCCCUCUGUCGCUCAGUACGCACUAUCGUCACAAUGUGUCCUACGCUUGAACACCGAGGUCCCUCGGUCCCUCAGUAUUCCCUACCGUUCACUGUGUGUGUACUACCCUUGUACACCAAAGUCCCUCUGUCCCUCAUUACUCCCUACCGUUCACAGGAUGUGUCCUACCCUCGAACACGGAGGUCCAUCUGUCCCUCAAUACUCAGUACCGUUCACUGUGCGUUUCCUAGCCUUGUACACCGAGGUCCACCUGUCCCUCAGUACUCACUACCUUCACAGUGUGAGUCCUGCCAUUGUAAAGCAAGUUCCCUCUGUCCCUCAUUACUCCGUACCACUCAUUAUCUGUCCUACCCGUGCACACUGAGGUCCCUCUGUCCCUCAGUGCUCCCUACCGUCACAAUGUGAGUCCAUCCCUUGUACACCAAGGUCCCUCAGUACGCCCUACCAUUCACAGUGUUUCCUACCCUUGUACACCGAGGUCCCUCUGUCCCUCAGUAAUCCCUCCCGUUCACAGUAUGUGUCCUACCCUUGUACACCGAGGUCCCAAUUUCCCUCAGUACUCCCUACUAUUCAGAUUAUGUGUUCUACCCCCUACACUGAGGUCCCUCUAUCCCUCUCUACUCCCUCCCGUUCACAGUGUGUGUCCUACCCUCACACACCGAGGUCCCUCUGUCCCAUAUUACUCCCUACCAUUCACUAUCUGUCCUAGCUUUAUACACUGAGGUCCUUCUGUCCCUCAGUACUCCCUGCCGUUCACAGUGUGUGUCCUACCCUUGUACACCGAGCUCUCUCUGUCCCUCAGUACUCCCUACCGUUCACAUUGUGUGUCCUACCCCUGUACACCGAGGUCCCCCUGUCCCUCAGUACUCCCUACCGUUCACAGUGUGUAUCCUACCCUUGUACACCGAGCUCCCUCUGUCCCUCGGUGCUCUCUACAUUUCACAGUAUGUGUCCUACACUCGUACACUGAGGUCCCGCUUUCCCUCAGGAGUCACUACCAUCACAGUGUAUGUCCUACCCUCAUACACUGAGAUCCCUCUGUCCCUCAGUCCUCCCUACAGUCACAGAGUGUGUCCAACCAUUGCACACCGAGGUUCCUCUGUCCCUCAUUACUCCCUACCAUUCACUAUCUGUCCUAGCUUUGUACACUGAGGUCCCUCUGUCCCUCAGUACUCCCUACCGUUCACAGUAUAUGCCCUACACUCGUACACAGAGGUCCCACUGUCCCUCAGUACCCCCUACCUUCACAGUGUGUCCUACCAUUGUAAAGUGAGUUCCCUCUGUCCCUCAUUACUCCCAACCAUUCACGAUCUGUCCGACACUCGUACACCGAGGUCCCUCUGUCCCUCAGUACUCCCUACCAUCACAGGGUGUGUCCUACCCUUCUACACCAAAGUCCCUCUGUCCCUCAUGACUCCCUACCGUUCACAGGAUGUGUCCUACCCUAGAACACUGGUCCCUCUGUCCCUCAGUACUCCCUACCGUCACAGCGUGUGUCCUACCAUUGUACAGCGAGUUCCCUCAGUCCCUCAUUACUCCCUACCAUUUACUAUGUGUCCUACCCUUGUACAAUGAGGUCCCCCUGUCCCUCAGUACUUUCUCCCCUCACAGUGUGUGUCCUACCCUUGUACACAGAGGUCCCUCUGUCCUUUCGUACUCCCUACCGUUCACAGUGUGUGUUCCACCCUUGUAUACCAAAGCCCUCUGUCCCUCAGUACUCCCUACCGUUGACAGUGUGGCCUACCCUCAUACACUGAGAUCCCACUGUCCCUCAUUACUCCCUAGCGUUCACAGUGUGUGACCUACACUUCUACACCGAGGUCCCUCUGUCCCUCAUUACUCCCUACCAUUCAGUAUCUGUCCUACCCUCGUACACCGUCCCUCUGUCCCUCAUUACUCCCUACCAUUCAGUAUCUGUCCUACCCUCGUACACCGUCCCUCUGUCCCUCAGUAUUCGCUACCGUCACAGUGUGUGUCCUACCCUCGUACACUGAGGUCCCCCUGUCCCUCAACACUCCCUACCAUUCACUAUGUCACUUAGCCUAGUACACCAAGGUCCCUCUGUCCCUCAACACUCCCUACCAUUCACUAUGUCACUUAGCCUAGUACACCGAGGUCCCUCUGUCCCUCAGUUCUCUCUACCGUUCACCGUGUGUCCGACCCUUGAACACCGAGGUCCCUCUGUCCCUCAGUGCUCACUACAUUUCACAGUAUGUGUCCUACCCUCGUACACUGAGGUCCCGCAGUCCCUCAGGACUCCCUACCAUCACAGUGUAUGUCUGACCCUCAUACACUGAGACCCCUCUGUCCCUCAGUCCUCCCUACACUCACAGGGUGUGUCCAAUUAUUGCAGAAAUGAGGUCCCUCUGUCCCUCAGUACUCCCUACCAUUCACUAUCUGUUCUCGCUUUAUACACUGAGGUCCCUCUGUCGCUCAGUACACACUAUCGUCACAAUGUGUCCUACGCUUGAACACCGAGGUCCCUCGGUCCCUCAGUAUUCCCUACCGUUCACUGUGUGUGUACUACCCUUGUACACCAAAGUCCCUCUGUCCCUCAUUACUCCCUACCGUUCACAGGAUGUGUCCUACCCUCGAACACGGAGGUCCAUCUGUCCCUCAGUACUCCGUACCGUUCACUGUGCGUUUCCUAGCCUUGUACACCGAGGUCCCCCUGUCCCUCAGUACUCACUACCUUCACAGUGUGUGUCCUGCCAUUGUAAAGCAAGUUCCCUCUGUCCCUCAUUACUCCGUACCACUCAUUAUCUGUCCUACCCGCGCACACUGAGGUCCCUCUGUCCCUCAGUACUCCCUACCGUCACAAUGUGAGUCCAUCCCUUGUACACCAAGGUCCCAAUUUCCCUCAGUACUCCCUACUAUUCAGAUUAUGUGUUCUACCCCC